Molecule: long non-coding RNA, 5247 nt
Organism: Alligator mississippiensis (American alligator)
Lineage: Eukaryota; Metazoa; Chordata; Crocodylia; Alligatoridae
Exons: 5
Source: RefSeq, a predicted model, not a curated record
AAACGUUCCCCAAAGUUUAUUGGGAAAUGUUUGUUAGUUUUAUAGUCAGCUGCUCCUGUCCCAGGUUCUCCCAGCAAGGGGCAGUGCAGAGCACCACGGAGGAUCUUGGCAACUGAAGCUACCCACGGACCCCUUGUCUCCCCACAGGAGCUAUUGAUUGCAGUGAGCAAUGUAAGUAGCUCUGACGGUGCUAUAACUUGAUGCUACCCCAGGCCAUGGGGUAUGCAUGGUAUGGAGCAGAUGCCUCAUCUUCAGGGUAACGUGCAGCUCUUCAGUCUCACUGUCUUCCAGAAGGAGGCACUAAGGGAGAUGGUACGUGGUAGCUCAUGACUAUUUGAACCCCACCAUCUCCGAGCAGGCGGUGGUGCAGGGAGCAGCGUAUAGCAGCUCAGCUCCUGCAGUCCCAUCUUGACAGAAGUGUUUGGCUUCCUUCUAAAAAAUGAGGGAUUUACUUGAUUCCUGAGUAUUUGGGUGUCUGGUACACAGUGACAUUUGCCUACUCAGGGGGAGAGGAAGGGACCUUCAUAUUACUGUAUUUAGACCUGCUGUUGAAUGUGAUGAUUUCUCAUUCCUUAAAUGGACGAAUAUCUUCCCCAGGAGUCUCUCUCUCCCUCUCUCUCUCCCCCUCUCUCUCUCUCCCCCUUAGCAUUCACUGAGAAUGUUGCAUUUAGCUAAAACAGGGCAAAUUUGAGUGUGUUUAAAAGCAGAGGCUUUCCUUAGAUGAUGGCACUUUUUGUCUUCCUCAAGCCAAGAAUCCUCAUGAAAUGGAAAUGCGGGGUGAACACAGGGAGGUAACAGAAGUAUUGUCCUGCCUGUGUACAUUUUAUAUACAUAGAAGGUUUUGAAAAUAGAAAGUGCUUGGACAACAGCAGUCAGUGAAAUGUGGAAAAUAUGUUGCUGAGGUAUGCGCCUUGUGGAGUGACUUACGAGGUUUACAGCACAGGCAGCCCUGAGGUUUUUUUCCUUCCCUCUGUGCUCCCAAUGGAUAGCUAGUUCAUUAACAAGGCGUGUUUUGCUUUGAGUUUUUCAAACCUUCCUUUGCUUUCUGGGGUAGCAAUAAAGUGUGAUUUUCCUUCUCUUCCAAAUCUUCCUGCUCUUGCAACCUUUCCUACUCGAGGAAGUCACAGUUUCCCUGUCCCCUACCCUGCAGGCCAGAUCAAAACUCUGGCUUGCUCAGAAAAAGUAACCCUGAGAUUGUGCUGCUGAUACUGUGUUUAUUCACUUACAGGUGCUGGCUGAGAGGACCCAGCACACCAGCAGGGAGUUCUGAGAAAGCUGGGCCUAAUUACCAGCAGGAGGCUGAGAGUUGUGCCAAAAGACUGAUGGGUCCCUUGCACCUCAGGAGACCCACUGUGGAGCUGAAGGAGUUGAGUGGUAGGUGAGGAUGCCCUUCCCUGAGCCCUGUGGAACCAGGCGGUGACAACAUGAGGGCUGCGGGCCACGGUGCGGCCAACUCUGAUGUGCGAUGGCAGAGCACCGCAUUCGGGGAUACCUUCAAGGAACCGUGGCCAUACAGCCAGGAGGACCGCCUGGAGCUGGGAAUGAGCCCCAUGCAGGACCUGCUGCUCUCUUUCACUGCUGGACGUGGGAAUGCCUUCCUGCCCAAAGCCAAUGGCCCAGGGGCUAUGCUUCACAUCUCAGAGGCAGGCACGCCAGCCUGCAGCAACAGCCAGAUGUGGGCAUAUUCUUGCCAAAGGAGGCAUCUGCCAGGAGGCCAGGGCCUUCUCUAAAUCCCUUGGAAGUCAAAGGCAAGACCCAACCCCAUGGAUUCAGAGAUCUGUGGAUCAGCUGCUACGGUAAGAAACAGGGUGUGUUGUACAGAUCGAAAUACUAAGCUCUGCAGUUGCAGGCUGGGGCAGCUACAAAAGUACUUAAACCAGUGUCUGAACCCUCCAGUGCAGCGAGCACGCAGCAACCUGGUGCCAGCCCCAUCCUGUGCACUGGGAAGGCUCCUUCAUGACCUGUGCUCUUGCAAACAGCUUCAGCAAGCUUUGUAACUAGUUACACAUCUGCUAAAACACUGUCAUGAUUUGGGUCCAUUCAGCUGAGCUGAGUCUCUUGUGAAGCCAGGUCUUUAACACUGAGUAUUCAUGCCAGUGUCAGGGAGGUCCUGAUGCUGAGAUUAUAUCUGUGUAUCAUAGUUUUAUAGUGCUUAGGGUCAGAAGGGACCUGAAAAGAUCAUUAGGUCCGAGCCCCUGCCCCCCAGGCAGGAACAGGUGCCAGGGUCAUAUCACCCCAGCCAAACGUGUCCAGCCUCCUCUUGAAGACCCCCAAGGUAGGAGAGAGCACCACCUCCCUUGGGAGCCCAUUCCAGAGCCUGGCAGCCCUAACUGUAAAGUAACAUCUCCUGAUGUCCAGCCUGACCUUCUCUCUAACAAUUUGUGGCUGUUAUUCCUAGUAACCCCAGAUGGUGCCCGGGGGAACAGGGCCUCCCCCAAUUCUCGCUGGUCUCCCCUGGUGAGUUUGUAAACGGUCACCAGGUCCCCUCCCAGCCUGCUCUUGUGGAAGCUGAACAGGUUGAGGUCCUGUAACCUCUCCUCGUAGGACCUGCCCUGCUGCCCCCGGAUCAUGCGAGUGGCCCUCCUUUGGACUCUCUCCAUGUUGUCCACAUCCCUUUUGAAGUGCGGCGCCCAGAACUGGACGCAGUACUCCAACUGCGGCCUGACCAGUCGCAUGGAGGGAGAGGAUCACCUCCUUGGACCUGCUCACGAUGCAUCUGUGGACGCAUGACAAGGUGUGGUUAGCCUUACUGACCGCGUCCUCGCAUUGGUGGCCCAUGUUCAUCCUGGAGUCAACAAUGACUCCAAAAUCUCUUUCUGUGUAUAGGACAAGGGGGUGUCUGGACAAGGGGGUCAACGGUAAGACAGGCUGAACAGACCACAGCUUCUUGGGUGGUGACAAAUUAACCCAAAUUCAAACAAACAAUUAAAAGCCAAUGCCAUUGUUGGUUUGUUUGGUUUUUUUUUCCAGUUUUUAUUGAGUGAAAAUGUCAAACCUUGCAUCAGUCAUGCAAAAAAAAAUCAAAUAAAUAAAACACAUAUAUUAAAUUUCUAAUAGCACUAAAUUCAAGUGGAAAAAUAUUCAGUUCUUAAUAACGCAGGUGCCGAAGAGACCAGAUUCAAGUAAAUCAGAGCACACCAUCCUGGUUAGGGUGUUUUUUUUUUCACUUUCUGCAUUUUUUUUGUCUCAAAACCUAUAUAUAUAUCUAUAUAUCUAUAUAUAUAUGUAUAUACAUAUAGAUAUAUACACACACACAUAUAUAUGUGCAUACAUAUUAUUUUUAUAUUUAUAUAUAUACACAUACAUAUUUAUAAAACAUUAAAAAGAGCAUUGGUGGUUCAAGCAUUUAUUUCCCCCCCAACAGAAAGAAAAAAAAUAAAACAACAACAAAACAAAAAAAAAAUUACACAUUUAAAAUUCAAAAUGAGCUAGCAAUGGCUUAUAGUCCUAGUGUGCAAUAUGGAUAUUACAAAAGGCUAGAAUUCUCCCUCUCUUUUUUUUUUCAUCUUGUUUUUUUGUGAUUUUUUUUGUGUUUUUUUUUAGUUUGCUUUUUUUAGUUUGCUACAUUGAAAAAAAUGUUUCUUUUUUUUUUUUUUUUUUCUUUACAAAAUUCCUUCCACACAGACUUUAAUCCAGUUGAGUUUGUGGCUAGAAUGGUCUAGUCAAUCUUUUUUAUUUUUUGCUCUUCAGCAGCGAAUGGUAGCAGAUUCGGGAGGGUCCUUCUCAGGGUUUCUUUUGUUUGCUUUAUUUUGCUUUGAACAAUCAUUCAGUCUCUUCUCUCCUCUUGCCCCCUCCUAAGCCAGCCAGUUGAGUCUCUCUCUCUCUGGUCCUCAAUUUAGCAAGCUACUUUUAAGUAUGUCUAAACUCAAUCAUACAAGCUGCCCCAUUGGCGCGAGUGCUAAAAGUGAGGAUCAUCUUGAUGAGUUGGGGACCUGUGCGUUGGGCGUGACUUCAGUUCAGUAACACACUUAAGUAUGUGCUUAAAUCCAUGCAUCUUCAGCCACCCCUUAAGCACAAGCUUAGCAACGCGCACAUUUUUGCAGUCUCACUGAAAUCAAUGCAGCUUGAGCAUGUACUUAAGAGAGGUGCUGAGGCAGGCACGUUGUGUGGCAGAAACUAAAAACAAGAGCCUUGGACUGGGCUGCUGUUUUUCACCCAUGUCCAUUUUGCAGUUUUAAAUAAAGAUAUAAAAGGUCUAAAGAAACAACUGGGGGAAGACUCAGCAAACAGCACCUCGGGCAGGGAUGGGCACUGGGCCCAAAGGAGAGCUUGGCUGGAGCAGCUCAGCUUCCUUGGGGCAUUCAAGGGUACUUCCCUCUUUGCAGAAUCAGGCCCUUGCUGCGGGGAGUGAUUCUGGUAGCAGCCUGUCAGGAAAGGAGUCCUUUCCCAGUGCCAGCUCCUGAGUACAGGAAACGCGUAGGGGCGGUGGGAGAGGUGAGAUGUGUGGAUAGGUGGUGAGGAUGGGAGUUGAGGAGAGAGGGAUGAAUUAUGUAGUAAACCCAGCUCAAGCAGCAGUGUCGUGUCUGGAGUUGGGGGAUGGAGACGGUGGAGUGGUUUUUCUCUUAUCCCCUUUUCCCACAGAUCUGCUUUCUCCUGCCACCUUGCCAGAUUCACAGUCACUAGAGGCUGGCAGGAGGGGUGAGGCUCCUAGCUGAUUUACAGCAGCAAGUAGGGAGUCUUAAUGAAGCCGAUUUCAAGCAAGGCUUGGCCAUAUCUAUCCUAUGUAGCAGCCACCAGUUGAAGGGAGAUUCCCUGCAGGUAUCUUACUCUUUCCAGUGGGGUGACCCCAUGGGGCUGAUCAUGAAACCCAGGUGGGCUCAAGUAUAAAGUUGUGAGUAGUCCUAUUGAAGUCAAUGUUCCCACUGAGGCCAAGAGAAAAACUCCCACUGAUUUAAACAGUGCCAGCUAAGCAUGUAGGCUUCUAAGACUAGGCCUUGUGCUAGGUCUGCAAGGUUUCCUGUAGCGCCUGUCGCCAGAGCAGCCGAGCACUGGGGAAAUGCACAGACAGAAAACCCACAACAAAAUGCCAGAAGCACAGUCUGGCCCCAGCUCCAGAAACCCCCGGCCUGGAUGCCCUCACUGCACCCGUGGGGGAGGUAAGCAUCAUCACCUUUAACGGAUGGGGAACAAAAGGAGAGGAUGGUUCACCACCGCAAGCGAGUGGCAGGAGAGGGGGGGAGGACGGGACAGAAGUAACAAAACAAAAUAAUGGAAAGCAAACCAAAAGAAAACCCUCUAAAAAUAAAA